CAAGAGAGAUGACAAUUUUUGUUGACAGGGUUGUAAUAUAAGUAGCCCCCCAGAAGGAACUGUCACUAUAACAUACGAAGAUUCUAAUCCCGUAGGAGAUACUAAUUACGUCGUUGGGACCUAAGUUAUCUAAGACGCAGAACCGAAUUGUUCAUAAAUUUCGCCUGAGCCCGAAUAUACAGUAACUGGGUCGAACGCUGUGAACAAGUAGACCAAACAAGCUGUACAACUGUUAAUACCGUUACGUCCAGAGGGUAAAUUUAUUAUAAACUUUCAAGUGUCGAAAUACCAAAAUUAGAUCAAUAGCCUGGAAUGCAGACGAGCAACCAGUAUUUGACGGCGAAAUGCUGUCGUCAAGGAUGCAUCUGAGGAAGUUGGAACGCUGCACAUACACUUUACGUAGUGUCGAAAACGUGUCAACAAUACCUCAAGUGGAAACUAAUUUGUUUUCAUAAAUUUCGUGUCUUCUAAUUGUUUCUUGCGUGCAUUAUAAAUGUGAGCUUUCUCAGAUAAAAGAUAGACAUUGGGAAUGAAGUAAUAUGCUUAGU
Molecule: long non-coding RNA, 548 nt
Organism: Pocillopora damicornis (cauliflower coral)
Lineage: Eukaryota; Metazoa; Cnidaria; Anthozoa; Scleractinia; Pocilloporidae
Source: RefSeq, a predicted model, not a curated record